GUAGUGGCAAGCGUUGUCCGGAUUUAUUGGGCGUAAAGCGAGCGCAGGCGGUUUUUUAGGUCUGAUGUGAAAGCCUUCGGCUUAACCGGAGAAGUGCAUCGGAAACCGGGAGACUUGAGUGCAGAAGAGGACAGUGGAACUCCAUGUGUAGCGGUGAAAUGCGUAGAUAUAUGGAAGAACACCAGUGGCGAAGGCGGCUGUCUGGUCUGCAACUGACGCUGAGGCUCGAAAGCAUGGGUAGCGAACAGGAUUAGAUACCCUGGUAGUCCAUGCCGUAAACGAUGAGUGCUAAGUGUUGGAGGGUUUCCGCCCUUCAGUGCUGCAGCUAACGCAUUAAGCACUCCGCCUGGGGAGUACGACCGCAAGGUUGAAACUCAAAGGAAUUGACGGGGGCCCGCACAAGCGGUGGAGCAUGUGGUUUAAUUCGAUGCUACGCGAAGAACCUUACCAGGUCUUGACAUCUUCUGCUAACCUAAGAGAUUAGGCGUUCCCUUCGGGGACGGAAUGACAGGUGGUGCAUGGUUGUCGUCAGCUCGUGUCGUGAGAUGUUGGGUUAAGUCCCGCAACGAGCGCAACCCUUAUUGUCAGUUGCCAGCAUUUAGUUGGGCACUCUGGCGAGACUGCCGGUGACAAACCGGAGGAAGGUGGGGAUGACGUCAAAUCAUCAUGCCCCUUAUGACCUGGGCUACACACGUGCUACAAUGGACGGUACAACGAGUCGCGAAACCGNGAGGUCAAGCUAAUCUCUUAAAGCCGUUCUCAGUUCGGAUUGUAGGCUGCAACUCGCCUACAUGAAGUUGGAAUCGCUAGUAAUCGUGGAU
Molecule: ribosomal RNA, 821 nt
Filed under: Lentilactobacillus hilgardii
Lineage: Bacteria; Bacillati; Bacillota; Bacilli; Lactobacillales; Lactobacillaceae
Description: bacterial SSU rRNA
Rfam family: Bacterial small subunit ribosomal RNA
Source: RNAcentral